AGCUCGAGAUAAAACACGGACCAUCCAUCCAUUCAUUACAAGUUUCGGUCAGCGUCGUUGUCUGUCUGUCUGUCUCCAUGGCUGUUGCUCUCCAGUUCGGUCGAUUAUGCGUGCGCCCGGAUACUUUCGCACUCGAGAACCAUCUCUCCGGACCUUUCCGGCGCCAGAAAACUUUUUCAGUCCGGUGCUCUUCUGGAAAUGAGGACGUUCAUUUCCCAUCGACGGACUCCGAUUUUGACGCCAAGACGUUCCGCAAGAACUUAACGAGAAGCGAGAAUUACAAUCGUAAAGGGUUCGGUCAUAAAGAGGAGACACUCAAGCUCAUGAAUCGAGAGUACACCAGUGAUAUAUUGGAGACGCUGAAAACAAAUGGAUACACAUACUCUUGGGGAGAUGUUACCGUAAAGCUAGCUAAAGCAUAUGGCUUUUGCUGGGGCGUUGAGCGUGCUGUUCAGAUUGCUUACGAAGCAAGAAAGCAGUUUCCUGACGAAAGGCUUUGGAUUACUAACGAAAUCAUUCAUAACCCCACCGUCAACAAGAGGUUAGAAGAAAUGGAUGUUAAGAUUAUUCCUGUUGAGGAUACAAAGAAGCAGUUUGAUGUGGUGGACAAAGACGAUGUGGUUAUCCUUCCUGCCUUUGGAGCUGGUGUUGAUGAGAUGUUUGUUCUCAAUGAUAAAAAGGUUCAGAUCGUUGACACCACUUGUCCUUGGGUCACAAAGGUGUGGAACAUGGUUGAGAAGCACAAGAAGGGGGAGUACACGUCGAUAAUUCACGGUAAAUAUAAUCAUGAAGAGACCAUUGCUACUGCUUCUUUUGCUGGAAAGUAUAUCAUUGUCAAGAACAUGAAAGAGGCGAACUACGUUUGUGAUUACAUUCUUGGGGGUGAACUAGAUGGAUCUAGCUCCACAAAAGAGGACUUCAUGGAGAAAUUCAAGUAUGCUGUUUCAAAGGGUUUUGACCCUGACAAUGACCUUAUCAAAGUCGGUAUCGCAAACCAAACAACGAUGCUCAAGGGAGAAACUGAGGAGAUUGGAAAGUUAAUUGAGAGGACAAUGAUGCGCAAGUAUGGAGUUGAAAACGUAAACGGACAUUUCAUCAGCUUCAACACCAUUUGCGAGGCUACUCAAGAGAGACAAGAUGCAAUCUAUGAGUUGGUGGAAGAGAAGAUUGACCUCAUGCUAGUGGUUGGUGGGUGGAACUCAAGCAACACUUCUCACCUUCAGGAGAUCUCAGAGGUCCGUGGAAUCCCUUCUUACUGGAUAGACAGUGAGCAACGGAUAGGACCUGGGAACAAAAUAGCCUACAAGCUCCACUACGGAGAGCUGGUGGAGAAGGAGAAUUUUCUUCCAAAGGGGCCAAUAACCAUCGGUGUGACAUCAGGUGCAUCAACCCCUGACAAGGUCGUGGAAGAUGUUUUGGUGAAGGUGUUCGACAUUAAACGAGAAGAGUUGUUGCAGGUUGCUUGAUCCAGUCUUUGUGAUUGUAUUCAGACAUGUUCUUUAUCUCAAAUAGUGUGUGUGUGCUAAAGUUCAAUAAUCCCCUAUUCAUCCUUGCUUCAUUAAAUGUUCUUCCACCACAGUUAAACUUAUACUCAUGUCAUCUUCAUGUUCAAACAUUUAAAUUUAGAGAUGAAUUGGGGAAAUGAGCUAGCAAAAUAUCUGAUUUUCUAAAAGAAAAAUAGACUAAUUUUGUUUUUUUUACAUCAAAAAAAUUGCUCUAUUAUAU
Molecule: RNA transcript, 1725 nt
Organism: Brassica rapa (field mustard)
Lineage: Eukaryota; Viridiplantae; Streptophyta; Magnoliopsida; Brassicales; Brassicaceae
Gene name: 4-hydroxy-3-methylbut-2-enyl diphosphate reductase, chloroplastic
Source: RefSeq, a predicted model, not a curated record